This 422-nucleotide ribosomal RNA is filed under the name uncultured bacterium. Its description in RNAcentral is "bacterial SSU rRNA". It matches the Rfam family "Bacterial small subunit ribosomal RNA", at positions 355 to 774 of the family's 1533-position model. The record is from RNAcentral.
UGAGGAAUAUUGGUCAAUGGGUGCAAGCCUGAACCAGCCAUCCCGCGUGAAGGACGACUGCCCUAUGGGUUGUAAACUUCUUUUGUAUAGGGAUAAACCUACCCUCGUGAGGGUAGCUGAAGGUACUAUACGAAUAAGCACCGGCUAACUCCGUGCCAGCAGCCGCGGUAAUACGGAGGGUGCAAGCGUUAUCCGGAUUUAUUGGGUUUAAAGGGUCCGUAGGCGGACUUAUAAGUCAGUGGUGAAAGCCUGUCGCUUAACGAUAGAACUGCCAUUGAUACUGUAAGUCUUUAGUAUAUUUGAGGUAGCUGGAAUAAGUAGUGUAGCGGUGAAAUGCAUAGAUAUUACUUAGAACACCAAUUGCGAAGGCAGGUUACCAAGAUAUAACUGACGCUGAGGGACGAAAGCGUGGGGAGCGAACA